GGAAUAGUGAUGGAUUACAGGGAGCAAUCCAAAUGCCUAAACACAGGUAGGGAAUGCUAUAUGGAUACUUUAUAAUCUCAGAACUGACCACAGAGGAUGAACAAGCACAAGCUGAUUAGAGACCUGCUCACCUCUGCAGGGGUCCUGAACCCGGGCUAUGUACUUUCAGGACUCUCAAAUUCCAGACACCUUUGAUUGCUCAGACUUUACAAAAGUAUAUAGAAUUUGGAGUUGAUCACCAAAGAUGAGAGUAUGCCAUGUGACAACCAUGAGUCUGCACACAAGACUGAAAGGAGAUAAAGCAGCAGAGAACUGGAGUGUGGCAGGAGAGAUGAAACUGUACUCUCAAUCAGUGGUUACAAAGACAGGCAUGACCUUACUCAACAGAUAUAUAGAAUGCUGGAUACGCACAUCAGAUAAAGUAGUCUUUCAAAUUUUGAAAGAAACAAAGUACAUCUUUGGUCUGCAUUCGGAUGCAUUUAAUAUUCCACUUCUGGAGGUCCAAAUACUCUCUAGAGAAGAACAUUUGAGAAAUGUUGUCCUAUAUAUUAAAUGACUGAGUAAAUGGUAUUCAAGCUAUCUGUCACAUAUUCAUGAAUUUCUCCCUUCUCUUUUUGUUUAUAUAUGUUAACAAAAAGCUUGUAAUAUAUCAAUAGUCAUAGUGGGUGUUAAUUACCAUUACAUAAGGUUACUUAUGUUACUUAUGUACUUAUUUAAUUAAAACAAUAAAAACAGUGUCUUACACA
This 746-nucleotide long non-coding RNA is filed under the name Numida meleagris (helmeted guineafowl). RNAcentral describes it as "lncRNA (ENSNMEG00000017581.1)". The record is from RNAcentral. Lineage: Eukaryota; Metazoa; Chordata; Aves; Galliformes; Numididae.